UACGUAGGGUGCAAGCGUUGUCCGGAAUUAUUGGGCGUAAAGAGCUCGUAGGCGGUUUGUCGCGUCGAAUGUGAAAACCCGGGGCUUAACCCCGGUUCUGCAUUCGAUACGGGCUGGCUAGAGUGUGGUAGGGGAGAUCGGAAUUCCUGGUGUAGCGGUGAAAUGCGCAGAUAUCAGGAAGAACACCAAUGGCGAAGGCAGCUCUCUGGGACGGUACUGACGCUGAGACGCGAAAGCGUGGGGAGCGAACAGG
This 253-nucleotide ribosomal RNA is filed under the name uncultured bacterium. RNAcentral describes it as "partial 16S ribosomal RNA". It matches the Rfam family "Bacterial small subunit ribosomal RNA", at positions 524 to 776 of the family's 1533-position model. The record is from RNAcentral.